GUGAGCACUUCAGCAGCACACAUACUAAAAUUGGAACAAUACAGAGAAAACAGCAUUGGCCCUGCUCAAG
Molecule: small nuclear RNA, 70 nt
Filed under: Mesocricetus auratus (golden hamster)
Lineage: Eukaryota; Metazoa; Chordata; Mammalia; Rodentia; Cricetidae
Source: RNAcentral